This 490-nucleotide ribosomal RNA is filed under the name Dendropsophus microps (Nova Friburgo treefrog). Its description in RNAcentral is "partial small subunit ribosomal RNA". It matches the Rfam family "Bacterial small subunit ribosomal RNA", at positions 794 to 1522 of the family's 1533-position model. The record is from RNAcentral. Lineage: Eukaryota; Metazoa; Chordata; Amphibia; Anura; Hylidae.
GCCCAGCCGUAAACUUUUACUUACACCCCCAUCGCCAGGGAACUACGAGCAAAGCUUAAAACCCAAGGGACUUGACGGUACCCCACAUCCACCUAGAGGAGCCUGUCCUAUAAUCGAUAACCCCCGCUUAACCUCACCAUUUUUAGCUUAUCAGCCUGUAUACCUCCGUCGUCAGCUUACCACGUGAGCGCCUACUAGUGAGCUUAAUGCCCCUACGCCAACACGUCAGGUCAAGGUGCAGCAUAUAAAAUGGGAAGAGAUGGGCUACACUAUCUAGCAUAGAUUACACGAAAGACUAUAUAUGAAACCUAGUCCAAAGGCGGAUUUAGAAGUAAAGAAAGACCAAAGUGCUUCCUUUAACUCGGCACUGGGGUGUGUACACACCGCCCGUCACCCUCUUCAAAGCUUCAACGUAGUCUAUAACUCCCCUUAGCACACCAGAAGAGGCAAGUCGUAACAUGGUAAGUAUACCGGAAGGUGUGCUUGGAAA